UGUAAAUUAGUGUAAAUAAGCACAUAAAUUUUUGAUAUUUAAGGUUAACGUUUAAUUCUUUUAUUUACAA
RNAcentral lists this transfer RNA (70 nucleotides) under Sinocentrus brevicornis. RNAcentral describes it as "tRNA-Gln". It matches the Rfam family "tRNA". From Rfam's summary of the family: Transfer RNA (tRNA) molecules are approximately 80 nucleotides in length. Lineage: Eukaryota; Metazoa; Arthropoda; Insecta; Hemiptera; Membracidae. The record is from RNAcentral.